This 809-nucleotide ribosomal RNA is filed under the name uncultured bacterium. Its description in RNAcentral is "bacterial SSU rRNA". It matches the Rfam family "Bacterial small subunit ribosomal RNA", at positions 8 to 796 of the family's 1533-position model. The record is from RNAcentral.
AGAGUUUGAUCCUGGCUCAGAACGAACGCUGGCGGCGUGGAUAAGACAUGCAAGUCGGACGAGAUUUUCCGUUGUAGCAAUACGAUGGAAAGUCUAGUGGCGAACGGGUGCUUAACACGUGGGCAACCUGCCAGGAAGUGGGGGACAGCUCGCCGAAAGGGGAUUAAUACCGCAUGUGAUUAGAGAGGACAUCCUUUCGAAAUUAAAGUCGGGGCAACCUGACGCUUCUUGUGGGGCCCGCGGCCUAUCAGCUAGUUGGUGAGGUAACGGCUCACCAAGGCUUUGACGGGUAGCUGGUCUGAGAGGACGACCAGCCACACUGGGACUGAGACACGGCCCAGACACCUACGGGUGGCAGCAGUCGAGAAUUUUUGACAAUGGGGGAAACCCUGAUCGAGCGACGCCGCGUGGAGGAUGAAGGUCUUCGGAUUGUAAACUCCUGUCAUUGGGGAACAAUGCACAGAUAUUAACUGUAUUUGUGUUGAUAGUACCCGAAGAGGAAGAGACGGCUAACUCUGUGCCAGCAGCCGCGGUAAUACAGAGGUCUCAAGCGUUGUUCGGAUUCAUUGGGCGUAAAGGGUGCGUAGGCGGCGCGGUAAGUCGGGUGUGAAAUCUCGGAGCUUAACUCCGAAACUGCAUUCGAUACUGCCGUGCUUGAGGACUGGAGAGGAGACUGGAAUUUACGGUGUAGCGGUGAAAUGCGUAGAUAUCGUAAGGAAGACCAGUGGCGAAGGCGGGUCUCUGGACAGUUCCUGACGCUGAGGCACGAAGGUCAGGGGAGCAAACGGGAUUAGAUACCCUAGUAGUCC